UGGGAGGGUCUGCUAAGCUUACCUUAGAUACUAUCGAAAUGACCAAGUAAGCCAUUCCCAAUUAAAAACCACCAGUUGAAAUGUCAAACUUAUCUUAGACACUAAUUGGUUAAUUAGUUUCGAUUUGACCAACCUAAUGAUUCAGGUUCAACCACUGAGCCAUAAUCAAGAUCUAUUUGGUCUAAUCAAAGAUAUGAAUUUGACCAUCUAUAACUAUUGUAUUGAUUUUAGAGAAAUCCUGAUUUAAUCUAAU
This 253-nucleotide long non-coding RNA is filed under the name Elaeis guineensis (African oil palm). Its description in RNAcentral is "long non-coding RNA (EGUI_LNC049969)". The record is from RNAcentral. Lineage: Eukaryota; Viridiplantae; Streptophyta; Magnoliopsida; Arecales; Arecaceae.